RNAcentral lists this ribosomal RNA (653 nucleotides) under Rhizopus arrhizus. Its description in RNAcentral is "Rhizopus oryzae partial large subunit ribosomal RNA". It matches the Rfam family "Eukaryotic large subunit ribosomal RNA", at positions 83 to 668 of the family's 3401-position model. The record is from RNAcentral. Lineage: Eukaryota; Fungi; Mucoromycota; Mucoromycetes; Mucorales; Rhizopodaceae.
GNACGGCGAGUGANAGGAAGAGCUCAAAGUUGGAACCUGUUUGGCCUAGCUAAACCGGAUUGUAGACUGUAGAAGUGUUUUCCAGGCAAGCCGAGUAAAUAAGUCCUUUGGAACAGGGCAUCAUAGAGGGUGAGAAUCCCGUCUUUGGCUUGAGCAUUUGCCUUUUGUGAUACGCUUUCAAAGAGUCAGGUUGUUUGGGAAUGCAGCCUAAAUUGGGUGGUAAAUCUCACCUAAAGCUAAAUAUUGGCGAGAAACCGAUAGCGAACAAGUACCGUGAGGGAAAGAUGAAAAGAACUUUGAAAAGAGAGUUAAACAGUAUGUGAAAUUGUUAAAAGGGAACCGUUUGGAGCCAGACUGGCUUGUCUGUAAUCAAUCUAGGCUUCGGCCUGGAUGCACUUGCAGGCUAUGCCUGCCAACGACAAUUUGACUUGAGGGAAAAAACUAGGGGAAAUGUGGCCCACUUGUGGGUGUUAUAGUCCCUUAGAAAAUACCUUGGGUUGGAUUGAGGAACGCAGCGAAUGCUUAUUGGCGAGUUUUCCAGGAAGGUUUUCUGAGGUACUACGGUAUCAAGGUUGAUCUUUUUGGUUAUACUUCUAUUCGCUUAGGUUGUUGGCUUAAUGACUCUAAAUGACCCGUCUUNAANNNACGGACCA